CAUGGUGCAUGGCCGUUCUUAGUUCGUGGAGUGAUCUGUCUGCUUAAUUGCGUUUCAUAUUUACGAAUGUCGCUUACGUGAUUGCUGCAGACCUCGUUUUCUCUGGAGGCGACGCGUCUCUUCAACUCACUCGCACAUUCUCUUGAACGCAACGAGCGUGACCGCAACCUCUUGUUGUGUAUACCAAGUGUGGCGCUGGCUUGCCAGCUCGCACUCCAAUGCACGUAUUUUGGUCACAUUGUCUCGCGGCGCCUCGGCGUUUGCAGCAAUGUCCAAAUAAACUGAGGACCGCGAACA
This 297-nucleotide ribosomal RNA is filed under the name Hastigerina pelagica. RNAcentral describes it as "partial small subunit ribosomal RNA". The record is from RNAcentral. Lineage: Eukaryota; Foraminifera; Rotaliida; Hantkeninidae.